CAAUAGCGUAUAUUAAAGUUGUUGCAGUUAAAAAGCUCGUAGUUGGAUUUCUGGUCGGAAGCUCCUGUCCUCUGAUGAGCGUACAAGUGCGUCCUACCAUCCUUCUGUUAACCUUUAAGGCUUUCGCGGCUUUCUAGGGGCUCAGAUAUUUUACCUUGAGAAAAUUAGAGUGUUUCAGGCAGGCUAGCGCCGGAAUACAUUAGCAUGGAAUAAUGGAAUAGGACUUUUGCCUCUUCUGUUGGACAUGAGGCUCGAGUAAUGAUUAAUAGGGAUAGUUGGGGGCAUUAGUACUUAACUGUCAGAGGUGAAAUUCUCGGAUUUGUUAAAGACUAACUUAUGCGAAAGCAUUUGCCAAGGAUGUUUUCAUUAA
This 370-nucleotide ribosomal RNA is filed under the name uncultured eukaryote. Its description in RNAcentral is "partial 18S ribosomal RNA". It matches the Rfam family "Eukaryotic small subunit ribosomal RNA", at positions 592 to 976 of the family's 1831-position model. The record is from RNAcentral.